This 845-nucleotide ribosomal RNA is filed under the name marine metagenome. RNAcentral describes it as "bacterial SSU rRNA". It matches the Rfam family "Bacterial small subunit ribosomal RNA", at positions 8 to 900 of the family's 1533-position model. The record is from RNAcentral.
AGAGUUUGAUCCUGGCUCAGAACGAACGCUGGCGGCAGGCCUAACACAUGCAAGUCGAGCGAGACCUUCGGGUCUAGCGGCGGACGGGUUAGUAACGCGUGGGAACGUGCCCUUCUCUGCGGAAUAGCCACUGGAAACGGUGAGUAAUACCGCAUACGCCCUUCGGGGGAAAGAUUUAUCGGAGAAGGAUCGGCCCGCGUUAGAUUAGAUAGUUGGUGGGGUAACGGCCUACCAAGUCUACGAUCUAUAGCUGGUUUUAGAGGAUGAUCAGCAACACUGGGACUGAGACACGGCCCAGACUCCUACGGGAGGCAGCAGUGGGGAAUCUUAGACAAUGGGCGCAAGCCUGAUCUAGCCAUGCCGCGUGUGUGAUGAAGGUCUUAGGAUCGUAAAGCACUUUCGCCAGGGAUGAUAAUGACAGUACCUGGUAAAGAAACCCCGGCUAACUCCGUGCCAGCAGCCGCGGUAAUACGGAGGGGGUUAGCGUUGUUCGGAAUUACUGGGCGUAAAGCGUACGUAGGCGGAUCAGAAAGUUGGGGGUGAAAUCCCGGGGCUCAACCCCGGAACUGCCUCCAAAACUCCUGGUCUUGAGUUCGAGAGAGGUGAGUGGAAUUCCAAGUGUAGAGGUGAAAUUCGUAGAUAUUUGGAAGAACACCAGUGGCGAAGGCGGCUCACUGGCUCGAUACUGACGCUGAGGUGCGAAAGUGUGGGGAGCAAACAGGAUUAGAUACCCUGGUAGUCCACACCGUAAACGAUGAAUGCCAGUCGUCGGGCAGUAUACUGUUCGGUGACACACCUAACGGAUUAAGCAUUCCGCCUGGGGAGUACGGUCGCAAGAUUAAAAC